This 330-nucleotide ribosomal RNA is filed under the name uncultured bacterium. RNAcentral's name for it is "bacterial SSU rRNA". It matches the Rfam family "Bacterial small subunit ribosomal RNA", at positions 568 to 898 of the family's 1533-position model. The record is from RNAcentral.
CGUGUAGGCGGCUCAUCAAGUCUGGUAUGAAAUCGCAGGGCUUAACCCUGCAUAUGCGCUGGAAACUGGUGGGCUUGAGUUCUUGAGGGGAAGCUGGAAUUCCAGGUGUAGGGGUGAAAUCUGUAGAUAUCUGGAAGAACACCGGUGGCGAAGGCGAGCUUCUAUCAGAGGACUGACGCUGAGGCGCGAAAGCGUGGGGAGCAAACAGGAUUAGAUACCCUGGUAGUCCACGCUGUAAACGAUGUGCACUAGGCGUGGGGCACGUACGUGUUCUGUGCCGUAGUUAACGUGUUAAGUGCACCGCCUGGGGAGUAUGCUCGCAAGGGUGAA